CGGAUCGUAAACUUCUUUUAGAGGGGAUGAAUGAGUUGGUGAAUAGCCAACUGUGACAGUACUCUUUGAGUAAGCCACGGCUAACUACGUGC
Molecule: ribosomal RNA, 92 nt
Filed under: uncultured bacterium
Lineage: Bacteria
Description: partial 16S ribosomal RNA
Source: RNAcentral